Molecule: long non-coding RNA, 19604 nt
Filed under: Populus tremula
Lineage: Eukaryota; Viridiplantae; Streptophyta; Magnoliopsida; Malpighiales; Salicaceae
Description: long non-coding RNA (PTRE_LNC001153)
Source: RNAcentral
AUUAUAAUAAACACAUUUGAAGAGCUGGAAUCUCAUGCGAUCCACUCCUUUUCUAAAGGUAAUACCCCUCCGGUAUAUCCAGUGGGUCCCAUUUUAAACCUUAAUAGAGAUGAUGGUGGUGGCGAGGAGUCUGAUAAAUACAAAGACAUCAAGCAAUGGCUCGAUGAUCAGCCCCUAUCCUCAGUAGUGUAUCUAUGCUUCGGGAGCAUGGGGGGUUUCAGAGUGGAUCAGGUGAAGGAAAUUGCUUGUGGGCUAGAGCAGAGCGGGCAUCGAUUCUUGUGGUCUCUGCGUCAACCACCACCGGAAGGGACGAUGGAACCUCCAAGCGAUUACAAUCCUCGGGAUGUCUUACCUGAAGGAUUUUUGGAUCGGACGGCUAACACAGGAAAAAUAAUUGGAUGGGCCCCCAGACAGAUAUUUUGGGCCAUCCAUCCGUAGGAGGGUUCGUAUCGCACUGUGGAUGGAACUCUAUAUUGGAAAGCAUAUGGUUUGGCGUUCCGAUUGCCGCGUGGCCAUUAUAUGCAGAGCAACAAUUUAAUGCCUUUCAAAUAGUUGUUGAGCUCGGAUUGGGAGUGGAGAUUAAAAUGGAUUAUAGAAGAGACUUUAACUGGGAUGGUAGUGAAAAUGUCAUUAGUGCCGGGGAGAUCGAGAGAGGAGUAAGGUGUUUAAUGGAGCUUUGCGAUGAGAAAAGGGAGAAGUUGAAGGAGAUGAGUGGAAAGAGCAGGAAGGCUUCGGAGAACGGUGGAUCCUCGUUCACUUGGUUAGGUCGUUUCAUUCAAGAUACGGUGGACCACGUCCAUGAUUAAACUGUACUCUUUUCAUGUUAUUUAAUAAAACGCUUUUUUUAGACCCUGUUUUAAAAGUGGUUGGGAAUGAGUUUUAAAAAACUUUCUUGGGCGCUGGGCCAACGGGAGUAGGAUCACUUAGCCAUACUUUAUAAUUGAAAAAACAAGUACUUUGGAAAUAUAUGCUACUCAGCCAAAGAAAAAAUUCUUGCCAAUAACCAUGACCGCUGAACCGCCGAAUAGAAACAUUAAUUAAUAUUUAAUUAAAAAAGGAAAUGAAAUUAACAUAUAUAACAUAAAAUUUCUCCACCGAUUCUUUCUAGUCGAGCCUCUGAGAAGUAGAAAGAAUUACAAUCCCCAUUCCACCUAAAAUUCUCACUUGACGCCCCUAUGCAUCUGUUAUAGUUAUUUCAUACCUUUUUUUUUUUUUUUUCCGUAUGAUUUUGCUUACUAUACUUGCUGCUGCUAUAGAAUAAUAAAUAAGAGCAUAAAUUCACUUACUUCGUCAGAAGGAUAUCAUUACAUAAUAUCUAUGAUUGUUUAUGUCUUUAACAGGACCACUUGAUUAAAUAUGGAGGAAAGUGGGAUAAAUGGUUAAAUCUCUUGUCUCCAGCUAUCGGAGAUCCCAUUUCCGUACCAACUCAAGAUAUGCUUAUGACGCUCUAUGUAUUAACAACCUAGAAUCGUCGAGGUAUUUGUGCAAAUAGGUCCUUUCAGGUAAAAUAAGAACAACUCCCAUGUUAAAAUAUAUAAAAAUAUUUUUUUUUUGUUUUUUUUAAAUUAUUUUUGAAAUCAGCACGUCCAAAACUUAUAGAAAAAAAAUUUGUAAAAAAAAAUUAAAUUUUUUUAAUAAUGUGUUUUAUACCGUUUUUCUCCAAGAUCAUACUUAGAUGCUAUGCCCGCGCAACGUUGUAGGCUUGUGACAUGUUUGUUUAUUGUUGUGGAUUUAUAUAAAAAAAAUUUAUAUGAAGAAAAUUUUUUGUGAUUCACAAUAUUUUUAAGAAAAAACUACAAAAAAUUCUUAACCAAUUUAAUAUUAAAAACAUAUUGAAGAUUUGGGAUGACCUCAGUCUUUAAUCUUGUGACUCAUGUGAUUGGGAUAUAAUUUAAUUAGUCAGAUUAUAAAUUUAUUUUUUAAUAAUUAUUAAUUCGAAUAUCAUAAAUUUCAAGGUUAUUGAAAAUUUACAUGAUUGUUAAUUUUAAAAUCUAUAAAAUUAAUCAAGAUACAUUUAAUUUAAUAGACCAAAUAUUUACAUUAAUGAAAUAAAAAAAUCUUGUGCUUCACAUGCAUGAUAUUUUAACAAAGAAUAGUCAAGUACACUUCAUUAUAGCCCCUUAUAGUGCACCUAAGAAGGACACGAAGAUCAAUCUUUUGCAUUCCUCCUAGAACUCUCCAGCUACUCGUUGUAAGCCGAGGAAAAAAAAACAAAGAGACCUCAAUUAAUUGCAGAAAUGAAGAAAGCUGAGCUAGUCUCCAUACCAGCACUUAAUGAAGAUUACCUUCCUCAUCAUGAGCCUAAGUUAUGACUCAAAGACCGCUUGCUAUAUUGAUUCAUUGAGUGCAACCGGCAAUCGAAUCUGGUUCAUUAAGUUGCCGUUGCCUGAAGAUAAGCCUGAACCCAGCAAGUUUCUCUUUUCUUUAAUUGGAACCCAAAACCCCAUAUCAAAGAAGUAGUUCAUGACACAUUUAUUCAUAUAAGUAAAUUUUUAUUUUAAGUUGAAAAUAAAAUAUAAAACCCAUCAAAACAAUAAAAUUAUAUUCAUACCACAAAUACAUUUGAUUUCAUGUAGGGUGUGUUGGGGUAUUAAUACCUUCUCUAAUCAAUAAUUUUUUUAAUUUUAAAAUUUAUAAUAAGAUUAAUGCAUCGAGUUUUUUAGUGAUUCUAAAUCAAACUAUUAGAAGGUGACUUUCUGAUUUCCUUACGCUAUUUGUCCACUUGCAGUAUUUAUAAUCUAAUAUAAGUAUUUUAACAUAAAAUAUUAACAUGUUUUUUAAAAAUUAAAAAAUCAAUUAAAUGUAAAUAUAAAAUUAUUCUUAAAAAACCUUUGGAUAACAAGGAUUUCAAGCUCAAAAUAGUUUUAUAGAUUGGACUAUGAGCAUAUGGGCUGAUGUUGAGCUUGGCUUUAAUUAAUGUAAGAUAUUUUAUUAUUAAGUUCAUGUUUUAUUAAUAUUAUUUUUAGUAUUAAAAAUAUUUUAAUACAUGAACCAAUUUAUUUAUUAAAUAAUGAGCGUUCAUAAUUUUUUCAUAAAUUAUAACUAAUUCAUGAAAAAAAUUAAGUCUACAUGCGAGCCCAUGCUGUGAACCUCAAAUCGGUCAAUGUCACGGAGAUGAAUAUUAUUGUUGUUGUCCAGCGGUUAUAUUAAUUCUAAACUAAUAUUAUUUGAUGCAAUGUAUAAUGAAGGUUAUGAAAUUUGUUAUACUAUGAAAAUUGUCAAAAAAAAUACAAUAUUUUUUUCUUUAUUUAAAAUUUGAGAUUAGUGCCUAAUUUGUUUUUAAACAUAACUGGUAUAAAGAUGAUAUGUUUUUAAAGUUAUUCAAAAACUAACUUCAAUCUCUAUUGACAUCAAUUAAAAAAAAAAAGAGCUCAGUCGCAUAAUGAAGAAAGCUGAGCUGGUCUUCAUACCAAAGUGUUGAUGAUUAAACCAAAGCAUAGAUCUAGAUAAUAUAGAUUAUAGUUGUUAAACUGGGUUCAGUAAUCUACUCAAAAUAAAAUUUAAAUCACUAAGUUACAAGGUCUCAUGUCAAUUAUUUUUAUUAAAAUAUAGGUGUUAUUUGGUUCUAGAAUUUUUUUUUUUUUAAAAAGAAAUUCUUAGUGUUGAUGUGUCUAGGUGCGACCUAGUUAAUAGGGUUAUUACAUAAGUUUUUUUGGGUGUGUAUAUAUAACUUUAACUUGGCCCCGAUCAAAUUUAAAAUCCUUACUUUUUUAAAAUUAAUUUAUCAAGUUAAAUUAAGUUUAAUCAUUAUGACAUUUGGUUUUUUUCUUGAUUUAAAUUUCGAGAUUAAUGUUUAUUUUUUUUAAAAAAAUACACCUAACUGAUACAAGAUGAUGUGUUUUUAAAGUUAUUCAUAACCUAAAUUUAAUCUCUAUUAACAUGAAUAUAUAUAUAUAUAUAUAUAUAUAUAAGCAUAGAAAAUUCAGCCCAUAAUAUGUAGUAAAAAACGUUGUCUUCUACUUUGAAUUUCAUAAAAGAGAUCUAAAUUUAAAUUUCUGACAGGGACGGCAUCCCUUUUUUUGGGUCUUCUUGACGAAUUGUAAAAGCAGUCCACAAUCACAGCAAAGCCAUGACCUCACUCAUAUCACAAUAAUAUGUAGCACCGGGAGUUCUCGUUCAGUAUGAAGUUGAAUGCAAGUCUAUGUCCACCUCGUGUAGUUGAAGAGGCCCGCGACGACAAACCUCAAUUUCUUCUUGCUGCUAGUGCUUCUUGUUAAAGCAGCUUUCAGUUUUCUCAUAAUGUUACAAGCUGUUGUUGAUCUCGAUUGAGUUGACAAGUCAUCGCCAGCUUUUAUCUAAAAAAUGCAAUGAUCUAUUCCACCAGCCAAGCAUAGAUAAAAGAUAUACGCGCUUCUUCUUCAUAUCAUAAAAGAGCGCUCCGACCGUCAAGCGGGCAAAUGCUUGGCUUGGUAGGUUCCAGUGAACCUUUAGUCAGAGAACUGGAUUGGCUUAGAGUGAAGUUUACCGUAGUAGAAAAGAGGAGCAUUCGGUGGAACCGGUACAGAAAUGGUUCCCAUUCGACUUGGGAAUUCCGUCUCUGGCUCGUGGGUUUAGGAUUGGCCUUCCUUCAUUAUUAUAAUUAUUAAUAUUAUUAUUAGUUGUCGUGACCGGUUAGGAUACUGAUAUUAAAGAAGCUAUAGGUCAUCAGUUGAUUCUAGAAUAAUUGUUUUUAUUAAAAUAGUAAUUUUUCUUCUAUUGAUUUGACGAGAGUCGAACGGAUUUGAUUGAUUUAAUAUUUUAACGGAUUUAACUAAAAACUUUAAAUGUCAAAUUUCUUAAGACCAAUCUGGUAAACUUCUAACAUACUACAAAACAUAUAUUGAUUUGUACAUUGAAAUUAUCACUUUAGCCUUAUUAAGAAAUACUCAAAGAACUUCAUUUUAAACAUAAAAAUUUCUUAAUUCAUUUAUCAUAGUUUAAAAAUUAAAAACCCCAUAGACAGAUUUACAAGUGGAAUGUAUUGGUCGACAUCUUACAAAAAAUUAAAACAUAUUUACCAAAAAUACAUCAAUCACCGACACCUUUACAAGCGGAUAAAGUCCGUUAGCAUUUUAUCAAGAGUUCAAAAAUAUUUACUGAAAAUGCCACAAUCACCUAUAUCUUUACAGACGGAUCGAGUAUGUCGGCAUUGUAUUGAGAGUUGAAAAAUAUUUACUAAAUAUGCCAUUAUAACCGAUGGAAUAUAUUUGUCAGUAUAUUUUAAGUGGGAAUUUUUUUUUACGCGUAUUUUCAGUCUGUAAAACCAUUAGUAAUUUUUUUUCUCUAGACAGAAGUAACAACGAAAUAUGGGAUUGCCGACGAACACUUUUCGUCGAUGAUUUUAUCAAAAAAAAAUUUACUAACGAAGUCUGAAUCUCACAUCGAUGAAUCCGGUCCAUCGGUGAAACUCUAAAAUCUUGCAAUGAUUAUUCUUAAAGAACCUUUGGAUAACAAGAGUUUCAAACCCAAAAUAGUUUUAUAAAUUUAACUAUUAGCAUGUGGGCUCAUGAGUUUGAGCUUGGCUUUGAUUAGUGUAAGAUAUUUUAUUAUUAAGUCCAUGUUUGAUUAAUAUUAUUUUUAGUGAUAAAAAUAUUUUAAUAAAUGAACCAAUAUAUUAAUUAAGUUAUAAAAAUGCAAAUAUUUUAUCGCACCCGACAUCGCAGCGACCUCUAAAAAUAAUAUUUGGGGAAGAUUGGAUUUCUGGCAUCCUAUUCUUUAAUGGGUAAUGAUCUUAUUUAAGGAGUCGUCACCUAGUAUUAUGGUCUCUAGGAAUUCUAACUGGUCAACAGAGAAUCUAUGGUACGGGAUUGGUUACGUAAAAGGGAAGAUAUUAUCACCUCUUAAACGUUCUGUCUAAGGCAGACUGCAUUGCUGGUUUUGUCUUUAAUUUCUAAACAUUUAUUCGCUUAUGCUAUGAUGAUUUGUUUAUAAUAUUCCUGACUCUAGUGCCAGUGAAUAUUCGAUCUAGAAUAAUUCCAACUCUGGCGUUGGUAAAAAUUCCAACCCCGAAUAAUUUUAACGUUGGUAAAAAUUCCACCAUGAAUAAUUUCAACUCUGGUAUUGGUAAAAAUUGGUAGCUAUAAAAAAAAAUCAAUAUAUUUUCUUAUUUUUUUUAUUUCUGAUCUUGAUAUCAGUGAAUAACUUGACAAAAGUAUUUUUUUUUAAGACAUGCAAAAUUUUUAUUUCUAUACUUUUUAUUUUUUUUUUCUUUUUUUUAGGGGCUGGGUCUGAUCCAGCCUACAUGGCUGGGUAGACCCAACAUUCCUGGUCUGGUCACUGGCCGAAGCCAGUGACCCGGUUGGGUAGUGAAUUAAUUAUAAUUCACUUGCUACUGUAGCAAGUGAAUUAUAAUGCAGGAGGGGAGAGACGAGAGAAGACUUACCUGGUGCAGCAAGGCGUAGCUGGAGACGAUGGCGCACUGCGCUGGACGAGCGGCACUGCCACCUCCUGUUCUUCCUCUCUUCUUCUUUCUCUUCCUCCUUUUCUUCCCCUGUUCGUCCCUGUAUUUCUCUCCUGGAGUGCCCUGUUUCUGGUGCAGUGGCUGCUGAAGAUGGAGCCCUGAAGCUGCUGUUUCUGUAGGCGACGAAAACAGUGGUAACGCUGGUGGUGACUCUUGUCUACUGCUUUCCUUGGUCUUCCUUCUGUGUUUCCUAUGCUCUCCCUCUCUCCAUGGCCUCCUCUGUUUCUUUGAGAAGAAACAGGGGAACGAAAGUCAACUCUUUUUUUUUCUUCACUCCUCGGUUAUGCUCUUUUCGUCUCUGUUUCGUUCUUCUUUGUGUGUUUCUUAUUGUUUUCGGUUUAUACCUCUGUUUCUAUUCGUGCUCCUGCCUCUUUGUUUUUCUCCGUUCUCGAUCGCUCUCUAUCUCUCCUGCCGGUUCCCCUGGCUUUUUCGUGUUACUCCUCAGUUUUUUCCUCUCUUUUUUCUUCUUUGUGGCCUUUGUUUCUUUGAGAAGAAACAGGGGCAAAAUUUGUAAUUGGACCCUGCAUUUCGGCACCUCUUAUAAGUUAGUCCUUGGACUUUAAUCUAUUGCAAAUGUGCCCCCAAUUAAACCCAAACUUUGAUAUUUCUUUCAAUUAAGUUCCUGAUUUCAUUAAUUAAAUUAAUUACAAGCUUAAUUAAGUCUCAAAACUUAUCAAUUCUCCAAUUAAACCCUUGAUUGGAUUUGUUAAAUUAAUUACAAGCUCAAUUAAGUCUCAAAACUUAUCAAUUCUCUAAUUAAGCCCUUGAUUGGAUUAAUUAAACUAGUCAAGAGUUUAAUUAAAUCUUUAAACUUGCAAUCAUGUUGUCCUUAACCCAAAUUUUAAUUCAUUCUUCAUUUAUUUUAUUUUUACUUGUUUUUUUUAUUUUUUAUUAAAUAAAAUAAUAAAAAGUUCAAUAUUAGGUUAUGACAUAUUUAAAUAAUGAGCAUUCAUAAUUUUUCAUGAAUUAUAAGUUAUUCAUGAAAAAAUUAAAUCUACAUGCUGUGAACCUCAAAUCGGUCUCGUGGGCUUCCAAAGCUUCUACAAAAGCCUUCGCGUCCUCCAUUCCUUGAUCAAUGUCACGGAGAUGAAUAUUAUUGUUGUUGUCCAUCGGUUACGAAAUUUGUUAUACUAUGAAAAUUGUUUAAAAAAAAUAUAUGCAAUAUUUUUUCUUUAUUUAAAUUUUGAGAUUAGGGCCUAAUUUUAAAAAAAUAUAUACCGAACUGGUAUAAAGAUGAUGUGUUUUUAAAGUUAUAACUUUAAUCUCACAAUGACAGCAAAGCCAUGACCUCACUGUCACUCUUGUCCUUGCACGGCUGCACGUAUAUAUUUUUUUAACAGUAAAUUGCCAAUCUCAAGUCCACUUAAUUAUAGCCACUAGUGCCCUUAAAAAGGAUAUGAAAAUCAGUCUUUUACAUGCAAUCCCACCUUGAAAUUCUCUAUAGCAAAUAGAGGGAAAAAAAACAGAGCUCCGUCGCAGGAUGAAGAAAGCUGAGUUGGUGUUCAUACCAAUAACAGGUAUAAGCCACCUCCUAUCCUCAGUAGAGGUAGCAAAGCUUCUUCUAGACCGUGAUGAGAGGCUUUCAAUCACCUUCCUCAUCAUGAAAAUACGUUCUGACCCCAAGAUUGAGAGGUUUAUAAAUUCAGUGAGCACAGCCUGUAAUCGUAUCCGCUUCAUUGACUUGCCUAAAGAUGAGCCUGAUCCAAACCAACCCAGGAAGUCUAUCUUUUCUUUGAUUGAAACCCAGAUACCCCAUGUCAAAGAUGAAGUCUCUAAGCUUGUGAGCCAGUCCGAGUCAAGCCCUGACUCGCCUACACUUUCUGGGUUUGUUCUCGAUAUGUUUUGUACACCAAUGAUAGACGUGGCCAAUGAAUUUGGUGUUCCCUCAUAUAUUUUCCUUACGUCAGGUGCAGCUUUCCUUGGCCUCCAAUUUUAUGUUCAGGCUCUUCACGAUGAGCAGAAAGUUGACCCUGCUGAGUUCAAGGGCUCUGAUGCUGAGUUAGUGAUGCCGUGUUUGGCAAAUCCUCUUCCAGCUAAGGUCUUGCCUUCUGUUUUGGUUGACAAAGAGUGGCUGCCAAAUAUGCUCAGUCAAGCUAGAAGGUUUAGAGAAACUAAGGGUAUUAUAAUAAACACAUUUGAAGAGCUGGAAUCUCAUGCGAUCCACUCCUUUUCUAAGGGUAAUACCCCUCCGGUAUAUCCAGUGGGUCCCAUUUUAAACCUUAAUAGAGAUGGUGAUUGUGACGAGGAGUCUGAUAAAUACAAAGACAUCAAGCAAUGGCUUGAUGAUCAGCCCCUAUCCUCAGUAGUGUAUCUAUGCUUCGGGAGCAGGGGGAGUUUCGGAGUGGAUCAGGUGAAGGAAAUUGCAUGGGGGCUAGAGCAGAGCGGGCAUCGAUUCUUGUGGUCUCUACGGAAACCACCACCGGUAGGGAAGAUGGAACUUCCAAGCGAUUACACUAAUCCUCGGGAUGUCUUACCUGAAGGAUUUCUGGAUCGGACGGCUAUCACAGGAAAAAUAAUUGGAUGGGCCCCGCAGACAGAUAUUUUGGCCCAUCCAUCCGUAGGAGGGUUCGUAUCGCACUGUGGAUGGAACUCUAUAUUGGAAAGCAUAUGGUUUGGCGUUCCAAUUGCCGCGUGGCCAUUAUAUGCAGAGCAACAACUGAAUGCCUUUCAAAUGAUUGUUGAGCUCGGAUUGGGAGUGGAGAUUAAAAUGGAUUAUAGAAGAGAGUUUAUCUCGGAUGGUAAUGAAGAUGUCAUUAGUGCCGGGGAGAUCGAGAGAGGAGUAAGGUGUUUAAUGGAGCUUUGCGAUGAGAAGAGGGAGAAGUUGAAGGAGAUGAGAGAGAAGAGCAGGAAGGCUUUGGAGAACGGUGGAACCUCGUUCACAUGGCUAGGUCGUUUCAUUCAAGAUACGGUGGACCACGUACCAUGAUUAAAUGGUACUCUCUUCGUAUUAUUUAAUACUGUGUCUUUGCGUUGAAAUAUUGUCUUUCAAAAUAAAUAAAUAAAUAUGGUUCAUUGAAAUCAGAGUUUUACCAUGCAUAGUAAAAUGAUUUGUGCAUUGAAAUUAUCACUUUAGCCCUAUUAAGAAAAACUCAAUGAACUUCAUCUCAAGGACAAAUAUUCUUAAAAAGAUAUUAAACUUAUAUAUAUUAAGCCAGGGUUGGAAAAAGGAUAUUAAACAAGGAAAUUUUUUAAAGAGUGAUCGAUAAUAAUUUUUUAAAUAAAUUCUUUGAAUAUAUAUAUAUAUAUAUAUAUAGAAAAUUGAGAGAUUUAGAAUCCUUUAAUUGAGUGAUUCCAGGAAGCCAUUUUUUUUUUUUUUUGUUGGAGUUGAAGUAGAUGGGUUAGAGUCAUUUCAUUUUUAUAUAUUGAAUUUGAAUUAUGAGUUUUAUUUCCCUUAAUAUACCCAAAAUACCGCAACCACAUACUUGUCUUUCCACUAAAUUUAUUCAAUUUGGAGAGGGAGAUGUAGUAGGUGAUUAGAGACUUUAAUACACAACCUGUUAAGUUAAAUUUUGUUGAAUUGCUAAUAAUUUUUUUAAUAAAAAAAUUUGGCUUGAUGUGACCUGAUCAGGAUAUAAAAAUAAUUUAGGUUGGCUAUAAAAAUAUAAUUUGAUUAAAAAAAUUAAAAUAAUAUUUUUAUAAAAAAAUAUUAAAAUAAUAACAUCUUGAUACAGAUCAACUUAAAUUAAUCUAUAAAUUUUCCAAUUAUAAUUAUAAAAUUAUUAUAAUAAAAUUUAAUUUUUAAUCAAUUUUAAAUAAUAAAAUUAAAAAAAUCUAAACAUAACAUAAUUUAAUCCAAAUUAACCUAUUAAUCCAAAUUAACCUUCUUUUCCUCGCUCAAGCUAGAAGGUUCAGGGAAAGUAAGGGUAUUAAACACAAAUAAAGAGCUGGAAUCUCAUGCGAUCAACUCCUUUUCUAAUGGCAAUACCCCUCCCGUGUGUCAGUGGGUCCCAUUUUAAACAAUGGCUUGAUGAUCAGCCUCUAUCAUCAGUGGUGCAUAUAUGCUUCGGGAGCAUGGGAAGUUUCGGUGUGGAUCAGGUGAAGGAAAUCGCAUGUGGGCUAGAGCAGGGCGGCCAUCGAUUCUUGUGGUCUCUACGUAAACCACCACCGAAAGGCAGGAUGGAACUUCUUCCAAGCGAUUACACUAAUCCUCGGGAUGUCUUACCUAAAGGAUUUUUUUUGAUCGGACGACUAACAUUGGAAAAAUAAUUGGAUGGGCUCCACAGAUGAAUAUUUUGGCUCAUCCUUCGGUGGGAGGGUUUGUAUCGUACCGUGGAUGGAAUUCUAUAUUGGAAAGCAUGGUGUUCCAACUUCCAAUUGCUGCCUGGCAGAGCACAAACUAAAGCUUUUCAAAUAGUUGUAGAGUUAGGGUUGGGAGUGGAGAUUAAAAUAAUUAAAAGAAUUGAACUCGGAUGGUAAAAGCCUAAUUAUUUUAAUUUUUUUUAUGUUUAUUUUGAACACUUUAAAGAAAGAACUAGAUAAAAUGUUAAAAUAUUUUUUCUCUUUCAUAAAUAAUAUUUUUAUAUAUUUUUCAAAAAAGUCAAAAUCAACAAAAUAGCUUUUACCAUCACCAUCACAAUAUAAUUAGCUUUUCAAACGAUUUUUUUCCAUUAGAAUAGAUAUUAUAAAAAAAAACUAUAUUUAUACUAUUUAAAAUGCUAUUUUAUCAAUUUAACUUUUUAAAAUAGUAUUUUUCAUUGGAGAUGCUCUUACAGCAAAGCCAUGACCUCAGUCUUUAAUUUUGUGCCUCACGUGAUUGGGAUGUAAUUCAGUUAGUCAUAUUAUAAAUUUAUUCGAAUCUCGUAAAUUUCAAGGUUAUUAAAGAUUUAUAUGAUUGUUAAUUUUAAAAUUAAUUAAGAUACGUGUAAGGCGGAACAAAUAUUUACAUUAAUGAAAUAAAAAAAUCUUGUGCUACACAUGCAUGAUAUUUUUAACAAAGAAUAGUCAAGUACACUUCAUUAUAGCCCCUUAUAGUGCACCUAAGAAGGACACGAAGAUCAGUCUUUUGCAUUCCUCCUUGAACUCUCUAGCUACUCAGUUGCAUAAAUGAAGAAAGCUGAGCUAGUCGCCAUACCAGCACCUGGUAGAAGCCACCUUAUGUCCACCUUAGUCUCCAUACGGCAAUUCAUUUUUUGGGGUCUUUCUGACGAAUUGUAAAAGCAGUCCACAAUGACAGCAAAGCCAUGACCUCACUCUCACUCUUGGCCUGCACGGCUGCACGUAUAUCUUUUUCAACAAUAAAUUGCCAAUCUCAAGUCCACUUAAUUAUAGCCACAAACAGUGCCUUUAAAAGGACACUGAGGCUUUUGGCUCGGCACUGGGAGGAGCUUUGUUUCUUUCCUGAGUUCGAAUCUUCAUGUGUAUGUUUGUUAUUUUCAUGGUGUUUUAUAUAUCUAUUAGGUUUGCAGGGUAUUUAGUAGUCGUGAAAUUAAUCGUGGUGAAGAAAAAAAAUCAGUCUUUUACAUGCAAUCCCACCUGGAAAUUCUCUAGCAAAUAGAGGAAAAAAAAAAAAAUAAGUCGCAGAAUGAAGAAAGCUGAGCUGGUCUUCAUACCAAAGUGUUGAUGAUUAAACCAAAGCAUAGAUCUAGAUAAUAUAGAUUAUAGUUGUUAAACUGGGUUCAGUAAUCUACUCAAAAUAAAAUUUAAAUCACUAAGUUACAAGGUCUCAUGUCAAUUAUUUUUAUUAAAAUAUAGGUGUUAUUUGGUUCUAGAUUUUUUUUAUGAAAAAAAGAAAUUCUUAGUGUUGACGUGUCUAGGUGUGACCUAGUUAAUAGGGUUAUUAAAUAAGUUUUUUUGUGUGUCUAUAUAUAACUUUAACUUGGCCCAGAUCAAAUUUAAAAUCCUUACUUUUUUAGAUUAUUUUAUCAAGUUAAACUAAGUUUAAUCAUUAUGACAUUUGGUUUUUUUUUCUUGAUUUAAAUUUCAAGAUUAGUGUUUAUUUAAAAAAAAAAUACACCUCACUGAUAAAAGAUGAUGUGUUUUUUUAGUUAUUCAUAACCUAAAUUUAAUCUCUAUUAACAUCAAUCCUAAAACAUCAAUAUAUAAGCAUAGAAAAUUCAGCCUAUUGUAAAAGAGAUUUAAAUUUCUGACAGGGACGGCAUCCCAUUUUUUUGGGUCUUCUCGACGAAUUGUAAAAGCAGUCCACAAUCACAGCAAAGCCAUGACCUCACUCUUAUUCUUGUCCUGCUCGAAUGUAGUUUUGAACAGUACAUUGCCAAUCUCAAGUCCACUUAAUUAUAGCCACAAACAGUGCCUUUAAAAAGGAUAUGAAAAUCAGUCUCUUACAAGCAAUCCCACCUCGAAAUUCUCUGGCAAAUAAAGAAAAAAAAAGGAGCUCAGUAGCAGAAUGAAGAAAGCUGAGCUGGUCUUCAUACCAACACCAGGUAUCAGCCACCUCGUAUCCACAGUAGAGGUAGCAAAGCUUCUUGUUGACCGUGAUGAGAGGCUUUCAGUCACCUUCCUAAUCAUGAAAAUACGUUCUGACCCCAAGAUUGAUAGGUUUAUAAAUUCAAUGAGUACAGCCUGUAAUCGUAUCCGCUUCAUUGACUUGCCUAAAGAUGAGCCUGAUCCAAACCAACCCAGGAAGUUUCUCUUUUCUAUGUUUGAAGCCCAGAUACCCCAUGUCAAAGAUGAAGUCUCUAAGCUUGUGAGCCUGUCCGAGUCAAGCCCUGACUCGCCUACACUUUCUGGGUUUGUUCUCGAUAUGUUUUGUACACCAAUGAUAGACGUGGCCAAUGAAUUUGGUGUUCCCUCAUAUAUUUUCCUUACGUCAGGUGCAGCUUUUCUUGGCCUCCAAUUUUAUGUUCAGGCUCUUCACGAUGAGCAGAAAGUUGACCCUACUGAGUUCAAGGGCUCGGAUGCUGAGUUGGUCAUGCCGUGUUUGGCAAAUCCUGUUCCAGCUAAGGUCUUGCCUUCUGUUUUGCUUAACAAAGAGUGGCUGCCAAAUAUGCUCCGUCAAGCUAGAAGGUUUAGAGAAACUAAGGGUAUUAUAAUAAACACAUUUGAAGAGCUGGAAUCCCAUGCGAUCAACUCCUUUUCUAAAGGUAAUAGCCCUCCGGUAUAUCCAGUGGGUCCCAUUUUAAACCUUAAUAGAGAUGGUGAUUGUGACGAGGAGUCUGAUAAAUACAAAGACAUCAAGCAAUGGCUUGAUGAUCAGCCCCUAUCCUCAGUAGUGUAUCUAUGCUUCGGGAGCAUGGGGAGUUUCGGAGUGGAUCAGGUGAAGGAAAUUGCUUAUGGGCUAGAGCAGAGCGGGCACCGAUUCUUGUGGUCUCUACGUCAACCACCACCGGAAGGGAAGAUGGAAGCUCCAAGCGAUUACACUGAUCCUCGGGAUGUCUUACCUGAAGGAUUUUUGGAUCGGACGGCUAACACAGGAAAAAUAAUUGGAUGGGCCCCACAGACAGAUAUUUUGGGCCAUCCAUCCGUAGGAGGGUUUGUAUCGCACUGUGGAUGGAACUCUAUAUUGGAAAGCAUAUGGUUUGGCGUUCCGAUUGCCGCGUGGCCAUUAUAUGCAGAGCAACAACUCAAUGCCUUUCAAAUGAUUGUUGAGCUCGGAUUGGGAGUGGAGAUUAAAAUGGAUUAUAGAAGAGAGUUUAUCUCGAAUGGUAAUGAAACUGUCAUUAGUGCCGGGGAGAUCGAGAGAGGAGUAAGGUGUUUAAUGGAGCUUUGCGAUGAGAAGAGGGAGAAGUUGAAGGAGAUGAGUGGAAAGAGCAGGAAGGCUUUGGAGAACGGUGGAUCCUCGUUCACAUGGUUAGGUCGUUUCAUUCAAGAUACGAUGGACCACCUACAAUGAUUAAAUUACUAGAUGCCAUCCCGGUGCCGCAGGCUUGUGGUAUAUUUAUAUAUUAUUGUAGAUUUAUGAAAAAAAUAAAAAUAUAUAUAUAAAAAGAGAAAAAUUGUUGCAAAUGUUUUCAAAAAAAAAAGUAAAAUUUUUAAUCAGUUUAAUAUUUAAAAAAUAAAAUAAUAAAAGAAAAUUUUUAAAAAAUUCACAUAAAAAAAAAACGAAAGGAAAGAAAAACUUUGUAAUAAAAUACUGUAAUAAUUUAUAGUGUUUCAUAAAAAAAUUCAUAAUUAUAAUUCUUAACUAACUCAAUAGUUAAAAUAAUAAAAUUAAUAAAAAUAAUUUUAAAAAAUUUCGUAACAAUAAAAAAUUAUAUGGUGGAAAACUGUAAUAAUCUACUCUACUUGACUUGGGCUAGGGCUUGAAUUGGCCUCUUGACUUUUUGGAGCUUGGGCAUUUCUUUGCUGGGUAUUCUUUUUCUUCAAUUGAACUUCUCUCUGCCCAUACAAACACAAAAAAAGAUAAAAAAAUAAUAAAAAAAAACAUGUAGGAAAAGUUAAAACUAAAUUCUAAAUCAGUUAAAUAUUAAAAAAAACAUUCGGGAAAGAUAAUUUAAAAAAAAACAUGUAGAUAAACACUGUAGCAAAACAAAAACCAUGUGGGGAAACGUUAUUACAGUCCAUAGUGUUUUUUUAAAAAAAAACUACGAAGCAAAAUUCAUAACCAGCUUAAUAUGAAAAAAAAAAAUCGACAAAGAUUAUUUUUAAAAAAAUCAUGAAAAAAAAGAAAACAAAUGUGUGAAAACAUUGCAGUAAUCCAAAAUGUUUUUUAAAAAAACUACAGAAUUAAAUUUUCAACUAGUUCAAUAUUAAAAAACAUUGACAAAGAUAAUUUAAAAAAAAACACAAAAAGAAAAAAGAAGAUAAUCUUAGGGGAUAAAAAGAAAAAAAAUGUAAAAUAAAAAAAAAAGGUAAAAACGAUAAAAAAAAAAUUAGGGAAAGAUUAAAAAAAAAGGGAAAAAAAAAGACAAAAUACAAAAGUAACUGAAAAAACAAAAACAACACAAAACAAAAUUAAAAAUAUUAAAAAACAAAAACAUGUAAGGAAAGUGUUUUAAAGUUUUUGUUUAAGUUGUUUUAUUGUUAUAAUUAUAGCUGUCGGAUCUUCUUGGGAAUUUAUACGAAAAAUCCAAGAGGCUAUGAAGUGAAUCUGGAUGCACUAUUUUUAUAGAAAAACUAAUAUUUUAUUAUUUUCUUAUGUUGAUCAACAAGAUUAUUAGGGUUGGAUUUAGCAACGACAAGGAGAACGAUGUCGUAUGAAUUUGAUUUAAUUAAAUAUCUUUGUAAAACUGAGCCUAAAUCAGGCUUUCAAUUUCAAAUUUCUUGUACCAAUCCACUAAACUAACCCUUAAAAGGUUCAUUACCUGGGAAGUCAUUCUAAAAUGACGAAAUGAUAGUCACUUUUCUGACAAAAAUUCAUUGAAAAAGUCAAAACAUCUACGACGCAGAUCUCCAAUGUUUUCAUUUUCUAAAACCAUCACCAAAAGCUCUUUUUUUUUUUUUCCGGAUGGUUAUCGUUAUUAUGUUAUUUUUGUUGAUGUCCACACAAAAUAUAUAUGGUAUUAUCCAUUUAUUGUAAAAUCUGAUGUUUAUUCUAUUUUUCAUCAAUUUUAAACUUUUAUCGAGCAUCAAUUUUCAUCAAAAAUAAAAUAUGUUCAAACUGAUUGGGGCAGUGACUCUCCAUUUUCUUUCAAACCAUUAGUAUUUAUCACCAUUUGAUAUGUCCUCACACUUGCGAACAAAAUGGAAUAGUAAAAAGACAUCAUUGACAUAUUGUGGAAACCGACCUUACUCUUUUAGGCCAAUGUAAAUCUCCAUUCCGCUUUUGGAAUUAUGCUUUUGAAACUUUGGUUUAUCUCAUCAAUCGCAUGCCUAUUCUUGUUCUUGCAAAUCGAUCUCCAUAUGAUUGUUUGUGUCAUUGUUCUACUUAUUAUCAUUUUUUGCGUACUUUUGGAUGUCUCUGUUUUCCCUUUUUGCGUCCUUAUAAUAAUCAUAAACCGGAUUUUCAGUCUUUUCCAUGUGUGUUUUAUGGCUACAGUUCUUCUCACCUUGGUUAUCGAUGUUUUGACAUUGAAUCUUAUCACAUGUAUAUCUUCUGUUAUGUCUGUUUUCAUGAACAUGUUUUUUCGUUUGAUAAUUCUGAACAUAUUACAUAGGUUUUGGCUCAAAACCACACACUAUUUCCUGCUACCAUCCUCCCAAAUCUGACCCACACCCCAUUAUUCACCGAUCAUGACACACCCCAUUCCGCCUCAGCCUCUACCCUGCAUUCACCUCCUACUAAAACACCACAGUCUCUACCUUUCACUUGCCGAUCACCAUAUACAUCUUUAUCUCACCAUUCUGUUGCAGGUACAUGUUGUAGAUUAGUUUUCCCUACACUCCAGCACGAUGUCUCUGCUAGUACUGGGAAACCCUUUGGUUCCUCCUUUGCUUCCCCUUUAUUUUGCCAGUCACCUGGCUUCUGAAGACUCUGUCUUUGUUGCCAACCUUGUUGUUGUUGGCAGCCCUCUGCUUGAGGCAACUUCUUCACCUAGUUUGAAUCUAGUGAUUGAUCUCUCCGCUUAUCCACUACAGCAGGACACCUCUGUGACACCAACCUCCGCUGCAUCACCAUCGUUUCUCAGCUGCCACCUUAUGGUCCUUAGACCGCGACAGCCCAAAACCGCAAAUAUGAUGGCCUCUACUGCAGCUGAUACAGUUGCCACUUGAGUAUUGCUAUCUCCUUCUUCUGAACCAAUUGCCUUCUCUGAUUUAGAUAAAUAUGUUGAUUGGCAUGAUGUUAUAUGUGAAGAGAUCAAGGCAUUGCGUUCCAACCACACUUGGUCCCUAAUGCCCCUUCAUCCUUCGAUGAAUGUUGUUGGCAAUCGAUGAAUAUAUCGGAUCAAACAUCGUGUUGAUGGUAGCAUUGAAUGUUAUAAAGCCCGUCUAGUUGCUAAAGGCUUUACCCAACAGGAAAGCAUUGAUUAUUCUGAAACUUUAGUCCAGUUAUUAAGCAGGCCACCAUCAGAUUAGUCUUGUCCAUUACGGUUUCACGUAAUUAGAAGAUUCAUAAGCUCGAUAUUCAUAAUGCAUUUCUCAAUGGUGUUCUUAUUGAAGAAGUCUACAUGAAGCAACCUCCAGAUUUUAUUGACCCUACUCUUCCAUCUCAUGUGUGCAAAUUGUACAAGUCAUUAUAUGGUUUAAAACAGACACCAAGGGCAUGGUACACCCAUCUGAGUAAGUUUUUACUCUCCAUUGGUUUCCUUGCCUUCAAGGUUGACACCUCCUUGUUUUAUCUUAUUUGAUGGUACUAAUAUCUUUUUUCUCCUAGUAUAUGUUGAUGAUAUUCUACUUAUGGGUAGCAACUCUGUCAUGUUUCAUCACCUAAUCCAGUUACUCAGCUUAGAAUUCAAGCUUCGUGACUUAGGUAUUGUUCACUAUUGUCUGGGUAUUGAAGUUCAGUAUACAAGUAUAGGUUUAAUGUUGCGCCAACACAAAUAUAUUAUUCACAUCCUCACUCGAGGUGGUAUGCCUUCUUGUUAACCCGUUGAUACUCUAGGUUCCCUCCAUCUCUGCUCCUUGGUGCGAUCUAUCUCUCAGCAAAUCCUAUCUUUCAUGCUUGUAUUAAACAUAUUGAGGUAGAUUAUCACUUUGUCUGCAAAGAAGAAAAUUCAUAUUCGCUUUAUCCCUUCUCGGGAUCAACUUGUUGAUGUCUUCAACAAAUCACUUUCUGUUGUGUCUUUUACUGCUUUCAGGUUUAAGCUUCGGGUCGAUCCUCAACCCUCAACUUGAAGGGACAUAUUAUAGAAUGUAUAGCAUGUAUAUCUUUCAAUAAAAAAUUAAUGUAGAAUUAUUUUAAUGUUAUAAUCCCUAUAAUAACGAUCGUAUUCUACCUUACAUGUAUAUAUCAAAAAAAUUGAUUAAUAACAACCUAAAUCAUUAUGUUAUUCUCGAUUUCUAUUAUCAUCAAUUAAAAAAAAAUAGAAAAUUCAGCCCAUAAUACGAUAGGGAGGGCAAAAUAUUCAGCCCAUAAUAACUGAGCAACAGCUAAUAAGGGUUCAAAAAACGUUGUCUUUUCAUGACUUAAAUUACUGACAGGAACGGCAUCGCUUUUUUUUGGGUCUUCUUGACGAAUUGUAAAAGCAGUCCACAAUGACAGCAAAGCCAUGACCUCACUCUCACUCUUGUCCUGCACGUAUAUAUUUUUGAGCAGUAAAUUGCCAAUCUCAAGUCCACUUAAUUAUAGCCACAAGUAGUGCCCUUAAAAAGGAUAUGAAAAUCAGUCUUUUACAUGCAAUCCCACCUUGAAAUUCUCUAGCAAAUAAAGAAAAAAUUAAAGAGCUCAGUCGCAGAAUGAAGAAAGCUGAGCUGGUCUUCAUACCAACACCAGGUAUCAGCCACCUCCUAUCCACAGUAGAGGUAGCAAAGCUUCUUCUAGACCGUGAUGAGAGGCUUUCAAUCACCUUCCUCAUCAUGAAAAUACGUUCUGACCCCAAGAUUGAGAGGUUUAUAAAUUCAGUGAGUACAGCCUGUAAUCGUAUCCGCUUCAUUGACUUGCCUAAAGAUGAGCCUGAUCCAAACCAACCCAGGAAGUUUCUCUUUUCUUUGAUUGAAACCCAGAUACCCCAUGUCAAAGAUGAAGUCUCUAAGCUUGUGAGCCAGUCCGAGUCAAGCCCUGACUCGCCUACACUUUCUGGGUUUGUUCUCGAUAUGUUUUGUACACCAAUGAUGGACGUGGCCAAUGAAUUUGGUAUUCCCUCAUAUAUUUUCCUUACGUCAGGUGCAGCUUCUCUUGGCGUCCAAUUUUAUGUUCAGGCUCUUCACGAUGAGCAGAAAGUUGACCCUACUGAGUUCAAGGGCUCUGAUGCUGAGUUGGUCAUGCCGUGUUUGGCAAAUCCUGUUCCAGCUAAGGUCUUGCCCUCUGUUUUGCUUAACAAAGAGCGGCUGCCGCAUAUGCUCCGUCAAGCUAGAAGGUUUAGAGAAACUAAGGGUAUUAUAAUAAACACAUUUGAAGAGCUGGAAUCGCAUGCGAUCAACUCCUUUUCUAAAGGUAAUAUCCCUCCGGUAUAUCCAGUGGGUCCCAUUUUAAACCUUAAUAGAGAUGGUGAUUGUGACGAGGAGUCUGAUAAAUACAAAGACAUCAAGCAAUGGCUUGAUGAUCAGCCCCUAUCCUCAGUAGUGUAUCUAUGCUUCGGGAGCAUGGGGAGUUUCGGAGUGGAUCAGGUGAAGGAAAUUGCUUAUGGGCUAGAGCAGAGCGGGCACCGAUUCUUGUGGUCUCUACGUCAACCACCACCGGAAGGGAAGAUGGAAGCUCCAAGCGAUUACACUGAUCCUCGGGAUGUCUUAC